Molecule: ribosomal RNA, 272 nt
Filed under: uncultured bacterium
Lineage: Bacteria
Description: partial 16S ribosomal RNA
Rfam family: Bacterial small subunit ribosomal RNA
Source: RNAcentral
UACGUAGGGUGCGAGCGUUAAUCGGAAUUACUGGGCGUAAAGCGUGCGCAGGCUGUUUGGUAAGUCAGAUGUGAAAUCCCCGAGCUCAACUUGGGAACUUGCGUUUGAACUACCGACUAGAAUAUGUCAGAGGGGGGUAGAAUUCCACGUGUAGCAGUGAAAUGCGUAGAGAUGUGGAGGAAUACCGAUGGCGAAGGCAGCCCCCUGGGAUAAUAUUGACGCUCAUGCACGAAAGCGUGGGGAGCGAACAGGAUUAGAUACCCCUGUAGUCC